Molecule: long non-coding RNA, 1644 nt
Organism: Cyanistes caeruleus (blue tit)
Lineage: Eukaryota; Metazoa; Chordata; Aves; Passeriformes; Paridae
Source: Ensembl
AUGGGACACCACAAUCUCCUUUCUGCUACAGCCCUUUUAGCCCCCAAAAUUGAAACUCACCAACCCUGGAAGUUAAAAAAUUGGGGAUUCACAGGAAGAGGGAGCUGGCAACUCUCAGACCCUAAAUCAAACAUUUCUUCUGUCUCCACUCAUCCUAAAGGAUGCUGGAUGGAAUCAGAAAAAUGGAAUUCUUGUGCUUCUGCUCUGGAGCUGCAGUCAGCAGAGUGCUUUAGGUACCUCACCCUCCCAAAAUUCAGCUCCUCUCUGUUCUCACUCUCAGCUUGGGUGCUCCUUUCACAAGACACAGCUCCUUGUGCAUGUCAAACGUCUUCAAUGUAAAUUUUGCUGGAUCUGAGGACAAAUAUUUCCCUCUCCAACAUUUAAACUCAUUUAAAAGCUCCUGCUGGCUCUCAGAGCAUUGGAGAGGAGCUUUAAUGCAGGGAGAAGAGGAUGCAGGAGGGUUUGAUUUAUAGAAUGAUGCCAAAUUCUCCGCUGGGAAGGAGAGAAAUCCUCUCCUCCAAAAAAUAUCCCAAAUUUCCUGCGCUCUUGAAACAUUCACUGCUGCUUCCUGGGUGACCUUUUCCAUGGGUGUGUUUGAAAUUCAGGGAGGAGUGGAUCUGUUUUCUGUCCUCGGAGCAAAACUCUGCCUUGUUUUUCUGCCUUGUACCAUUUUCCCGUUGGAUUUUCGUUCACCUCGCUGGGUCAGUCCCAACCACUCGGUGUUUUUCUCCUCGUCCUUCAAGGGUUGCAUCCCCAGAGUUGUAUUUAUGUCUGUAAAUAGAUUUCCAAAGCUUCCUAGGCAAAAUAUUUAGUGCUUGUAAUUACUCUGCAUUUUUCUCUUUUUUUUUUUUUUCUGUUUUUAAUGAACUUACCUUUGUGUUUGCUGAAAUACUGUAGUGAGACUUAUUUCUUUUCCCAAUUAGUUAUUUUUAGGCUUCAAGAGGAACUACAUUUUAUUCACUUUUGUAAACAGUUAUAGCAUGGUCUCUAUCCAACAUCAUCCUUCACUUUUUUUGUGGUAGGGGAUAAACAAACAUAAAAAAGAAAAAAAAAAUUAAAAAAAAAUCUGUGGGUUAUUUGUGGUAUUUUGGGUUGGACAACUCCAGCUCUUUUUAAAACCAAAAUUUCAGUGAGAGGUGGUGAGGCUGAGGGGGGACACAGCCCCAUCAGAGUGGCACCAGAGGGAAUUUGUUCAGCAUUUUCUGGCUACGUUUACAAAACAUUUCCCCUUUCAACGCUGAACUUUUCCUGAAGGGGAACCCAUCAGGUUGGGGAUUUUAUUUUUGUGGGGGUUGAUUACCAGGGAAUUAUUUUUUUUCCUGGGGAGGGCAGGGGUUGGCUGCUGAUUUUUGGAAGCAGAUAGGAAAAGAGAAUCGAGCAGAUUAUUUUCCCCCCACUCCAGGAAUCUCUAGAUAUCACCCCAGGGUAAAUUCUUGCUGUCCACAGGGAUGGCUGUGUCCAGCACCACAGGAGAAUUCAUUACAACUACCCAGAGCAGCUGGACUGCUGCAGUAGUUCUAAUGAACACUUUUCUUCCUUUUUUUUUUCCUUUUCUUUUCUUUCUUUCUUUGUACCACAGUUUCCUCUGUAAAUUCAAUAUCAUAAUUAGUGUGAAUGACAAAUAAAAUGUUUGACAAGUAUGCA